This 245-nucleotide ribosomal RNA is filed under the name uncultured bacterium. Its description in RNAcentral is "partial 16S ribosomal RNA". It matches the Rfam family "Bacterial small subunit ribosomal RNA", at positions 524 to 768 of the family's 1533-position model. The record is from RNAcentral.
UACGGAGGAUGCAAGCGUUAUCCGGAUUCAUUGGGUUUAAAGGGUGUGUAGGCGGAAUUAUAAGUCAGUGGUGAAAUCUUGCGGCUUAACCGUAAAACUGCCAUUGAUACUGUAGUUCUUGAGUGUAGUUGAAGUGGGCGGAAUGUGUAAUGUAGCGGUGAAAUGCUUAGAUAUUACACAGAACACCGAUUGCGAAGGCAGCUCACUAAGCUAAUACUGACGCUGAGGCACGAAAGCGUGGGGAU